GACGAACGCUGGCGGCGUGCUUAACACAUGCAAGUCGAACGGAAAGGCCCUUCUUUUGUGGGGUGCUCGAGUGGCGAACGGGUGAGUAACACGUGAGUAACCUGCCCUUGACUUUGGGAUAACUUCAGGAAACUGGGUCUAAUACCGGAUAGGAGCUCCUGCUGCAUGGUGGGGGUUGGAAAGUUUCGGCGGUUGGGGAUGGACUCGCGGCUUAUCAGCUUGUUGGUGGGGUAGUGGCUUACCAAGGCUUUGACGGGUAGCCGGCCUGAGAGGGUGACCGGCCACAUUGGGACUGAGAUACGGCCCAGACUCCUACGGGAGGCAGCAGUGGGGAAUAUUGCACAAUGGGCGGAAGCCUGAUGCAGCAACGCCGCGUGCGGGAUGACGGCCUUCGGGUUGUAAACCGCUUUCGCCUGUGACGAAGCGUGAGUGACGGUAAUGGGUAAAGAAGCACCGGCUAACUACGUG
RNAcentral lists this ribosomal RNA (468 nucleotides) under uncultured bacterium. RNAcentral's name for it is "partial 16S ribosomal RNA". It matches the Rfam family "Bacterial small subunit ribosomal RNA", at positions 28 to 507 of the family's 1533-position model. The record is from RNAcentral.